CGUGCCAACUUUCUUACUUCCUCCAUAGGGCCAGCAGAAAAUGAUAUGAAUGUACAGUGAAGUCUCGUCACGUGGGUUCAUCAGCCAAUGGCUGCGCAGCUUCCUAAAGUUUGACUGCUCGGGCUGGUGAGGGGUCGUCUUUUCAGAGGCAUUUAAAUUCCGGGCGCUGCUCCGUCCAGGUGACGCGCACUCCUGGUAGUGCAUUGCAGCUGCCGGUCACAGGCACAGCGCUACGUUGGAGCUCUCACAGAGGUCUGUACCGACACCGGGUGAACUGUCUCUGAGGCACCGAGCGGAGCUCAUGGACGCACCUCAAGCCCUGUGCAAUCUUUUUUCAUACAGCGCCUGUGUAAAAGCAGCAUUGUAAUGAGCAGUCCAGGGAUCAGCGAAGCCAUGUAGCAAGUACACAAAUGCAAAAGCAUUCCCCAUUGUUUCCAAAGAACACGGAAGCAGGCUGUUGAUGGAAGGGGUACUGAUUACUAUGGCAACGUGUGGUUCUUUCUGCACAGUACUUGCAGUGUAGGCAUACAGUAUUCUCCUGGGUCACAGACGAGGAUGGAGAUAAAAUUCGCAGAGAAAAGUAAAAUCAAUGUAAGGAUCAAGGAGCGAUUCUGUGUUCAUAUACUGUUUUAUAUUUUUUAGUCUGUAUGUGUAAAGUUUUUACCAUCCAAUAAAAACAUAUAUUUA
Molecule: long non-coding RNA, 687 nt
Organism: Spea bombifrons (plains spadefoot toad)
Lineage: Eukaryota; Metazoa; Chordata; Amphibia; Anura; Pelobatidae
Exons: 3
Source: RefSeq, a predicted model, not a curated record